CGCGUCAAUAGUGCAACGGUUUGAAGCGCACACUCCCGGAUAGAGUGAGAUGUGGGUUCGAGUCUCAGCUGACGCGG
Molecule: non-coding RNA, 77 nt
Organism: Parelaphostrongylus tenuis
Lineage: Eukaryota; Metazoa; Nematoda; Chromadorea; Rhabditida; Metastrongylidae
Source: the annotation of a GenBank genome assembly